RNAcentral lists this ribosomal RNA (793 nucleotides) under uncultured archaeon. RNAcentral's name for it is "bacterial SSU rRNA". It matches the Rfam family "Archaeal small subunit ribosomal RNA", at positions 85 to 879 of the family's 1478-position model. The record is from RNAcentral.
ACUGCUCAGUAACACGUGGACAACCUGCCCAAAGGUCCGGGAUAACCCCGGGAAACUGGGGAUAAUACCGGAUAAAUCACAAAUACUGGAAGGUUUUGUGGUUGAAACUUCCGGGGCCUUUGGAUGGGUCUGCGGCUGAUUAGGUUGUUGCCGGUGUAACGUACCGUCAAGCCUGUAAUCAGUACGGGUUGUGGGAGCAAGAGCCCGGAGAUGGAUUCUGAGACACGAAUCCAGGCCCUACGGGGCGCAGCAGGCGCGAAAACUCUACAAUGCAGGCAACUGCGAUAGGGGAACAUCGAGUGAUACUCAUCUUGGGUGUCUGUCCUCCCGUCUAAAAAACGGGAGUUAGCAAGGGCCGGGCAAGACCGGUGCCAGCCGCCGCGGUAAUACCGGCGGCUCGAGUGGUGGCCGAUAUUAUUGAGUCUAAAGGGUCCGUAGCCGGCUUUGCAAGUCUUUUGGGAAAUCCAGCGGCUUAACCGUUGGUCGUCCGGGAGAUACUACAUUGCUUGGGACUGGGAGAGGUAGGAGGUACUCAGGGGGUAGGAGUGAAAUCCUGUAAUCCUUUGGGGACCACCGGUGGCGAAGGCGUCCUACCAGAACAGGGCCGACGGUGAGGGACGAAAGCUGGGGGCACGAACCGGAUUAGAUACCCGGGUAGUCCCAGCCGUAAACGAUGCUCGCUAGGUGUCAGGCAUGGCGCGACCGUGUCUGGUGCCGCAGGGAAGCCGUGAAGCGAGCCACCUGGGAAGUACGGCCGCAAGGCUGAAACUUAAAGGAAUUGGCGGGGGAGCAC